UACGUAGGGGGCAAGCGUUGUCCGGAAUCAUUGGGCGUAAAGAGCGUGUAGGCGGCUUUACAGGUCCGUUGUGAAAACUCGAGGCUCAACCUCGAGACGCCGGUGGAAACCGUAAGGCUAGAGUCCGGAAGAGGAGAGUGGAAUUCCUGGUGUAGCGGUGAAAUGCGCAGAUAUCAGGAGGAACACCCGUGGCGAAAGCGGCUCUCUGGGACGGUACUGACGCUGAGACGCGAAAGCGUGGGGAGCAAACGGG
RNAcentral lists this ribosomal RNA (253 nucleotides) under uncultured bacterium. Its description in RNAcentral is "partial 16S ribosomal RNA". It matches the Rfam family "Bacterial small subunit ribosomal RNA", at positions 524 to 776 of the family's 1533-position model. The record is from RNAcentral.